Molecule: ribosomal RNA, 229 nt
Filed under: uncultured bacterium
Lineage: Bacteria
Description: partial 16S ribosomal RNA
Rfam family: Bacterial small subunit ribosomal RNA
Source: RNAcentral
GACGAACGCUGGCGGCGUGCUUAACACAUGCAAGUCGAGCGGUAAGGCCCUUUCGGGGUACACGAGCGGCGAACGGGUGAGUAACACGUGGGUGACCUGCCCUCAGCUCUGGGAUAAGCCUGGGAAACUGGGUCUAAUACUGGAUAUGACUCCACGGUGCAUGUCGUGGGGUAGGAAAGCCUUGUGCGGCUGAGGAUGGGCCCGCGGCCUAUCAGCUUGUUGGGUGGGG